Molecule: ribosomal RNA, 496 nt
Filed under: uncultured bacterium
Lineage: Bacteria
Description: partial 16S ribosomal RNA
Rfam family: Bacterial small subunit ribosomal RNA
Source: RNAcentral
AUGAACGCUGGCGGCGUGCCUCAUACCUGCAGGUCGAGCGCACAGAUGAGGAGCUUGCUCCUCUGACGUUAGCGGCGGACGGGUGAGUAACACGUGGAUAACCUACCUAUAAGACUGGGAUAACUUCGGGAAACCGGAGCUAAUACCGGAUAAUAUAUUGAACCGCAUGGUUCAAUAGUGAAAGACGGUUUUGCUGUCACUUAUAGAUGGAUCCGCGCCGCAUUAGCUAGUUGGUAAGGUAACGGCUUACCAAGGCAACGAUGCGUAGCCGACCUGAGAGGGUGAUCGGCCACACUGGAACUGAGACACGGUCCAGACUCCUACGGGAGGCAGCAGUAGGGAAUCUUCCGCAAUGGGCGAAAGCCUGACGGAGCAACGCCGCGUGAGUGAUGAAGGUCUUCGGAUCGUAAAACUCUGUUAUUAGGGAAGAACAAAUGUGUAAGUAACUAUGCACGUCUUGACGGUACCUAAUCAGAAAGCCACGGCUAACUACGUG